UUCUCUCCAGAUCUGCCUGGAUUAUUUCUUCCUUCAUCGUCGAUGGGAGGCCCUUAAGAAUAACCUUAAUAGGUUUUUCGCUGAGUAACUGGAAAGUAUGAAAUGGUAUAUUUCUUUUCUGCAAAACCAGAGUUGCUUUUCUGUAUUGAUAAGGAUUUCAUGAAUUUUAGG
Molecule: long non-coding RNA, 171 nt
Organism: Stegodyphus dumicola
Lineage: Eukaryota; Metazoa; Arthropoda; Arachnida; Araneae; Eresidae
Source: RefSeq, a predicted model, not a curated record